Molecule: ribosomal RNA, 450 nt
Filed under: uncultured bacterium
Lineage: Bacteria
Description: partial 16S ribosomal RNA
Rfam family: Bacterial small subunit ribosomal RNA
Source: RNAcentral
CCUACGGGCGGCUGCAGUGAGGAAUAUUGGGCAAUGCCCGCAAGGGUGACCCAGCAACGCCGCGUGGAGGAUGAAGGCCGUAAGGUUGUAAACUCCUGUUAGAGGAGAAGAAUAGUACCGAUUGGAUCGGUAUUUGACUGUACCCUCAGAGAAAGCCCCGGCUAACUACGUGCCAGCAGCCGCGGUAAUACGUAGGGGGCAAGCGUUGUUCGGAUUUACGGGGGGUAAAGGGCGCGCACGCGGGAUAGCAGAACUCCUACAGCUUACCUUUAGAACUGCCUUUGCUACUGUUAUUCUUGAGUUCGGGAGAGGGGGACGGAAUUCCAGGUGUAGUGGUGAAAUACGUAGAUAUCUGGAAGAACACCAGUUGCGAAGGCGGUCUCUUGGUCCGAUACUGACGCUGAGGCGCGAAAGCGUGGGGAGCAAACAGGAUUAGAUACCCGUGUAGUC